UUUUAAUCGAAGAACCAACUCAAUUGAUGUUUCAGGUACUGCGCUAGUACGUUUAAUAGUACUGGCUCAUGAGUCGACAAGUUUUAUGUGGUUUUAUAUGCAACUGAUAUACACUAUAAAAUAUUAAAAUCGCAUGACUGAAUAUUUGUGAAAUUUCUCGAUAUUUUUAUCGUUUUUUUUUGCAUUUACAUUUUGUGAUUUUUCUAUUAUUUCUAUACACAGUGUUCUACUGUUCAAGGGUGUAUACAUUUAUCAAUGAUAAAAUCAAUUUUAAUCAAUAAAUAUGGCAGAUUGCUUUUUCCACACAGUUAGGGGUAACUGAGUACUUUGGAAGCCCAAAGGCAGGUAGUGGCUCAGAGGUAGUGACUCAAGCAAGUGUGGAAAGUCUGCCAUGCAAACUAACACAAACAUUGAGUCAGGAACUUCAUGUCAUAAAGUUCUUUGUUGGUUUGCAUGUUGAUAAAUAAUAAUAUAAUGGUUUUAAUAUGGAAACACUUUGCAGAGCUUUUGACUGUAAAUAUAUUAUAUUUGCACUGAUGAGCAUCCGAGCUUGUGGAUUGCAAAAUAAAUCAUUUGUGGUGUUUCCACAAACAAAACAAUUAUGUCAACUUAUUCAUGUCAACAAAAUAUUUUGUACAUGAAAUCCCCUACAUCAUAUUAGGGAGGGGGGAUCAAAUGUCACACCACAAUGAAUUUUACUUAUGCCAAAUAUCAUAACCACCUCUUGAUAACAUGUUUAAUGGCAAAUCGUUAAAUCCAUGUCAACAGGGGAAGGGGUGAUCACCCCCAAAUUGAUUGGUGCAUUUUAAAAGUUCACUGUAAUUACUGUAUUUUAAAACCAAAAUGGCAGAUUAAAACUACAUAAGUGAAGUAUCAUAUUUUAUAAUGGCAAAUUGUAUUUUUUCCCCACAGGGGGCUGAGAAGUUGAGAACAAUGAUUUUAUAAGAAAAGAACCCCCGUCCCUGGAAUUUCCAACCCUGGAAUUUCCAAAUAACACAAAAUCCCCUUCCCUUGAAAUGCUAAAAUUACUGGGUUUGAACUUAAUUUAACCCCAAAUCCCCCUCCUGGAAUUUCCAAAGUUCUGAAACCCCUUGUGUGGAAAAAACAAUCUGCCAUAUUUAUUGAUUAAAAUUUAUUUGAUCAUUGAUAAAUGCAUACACCUUGCACAGUAGAACACUUUGUAUAGAACAAUAGAAAAAACACAAAAUGUAAUUGCAAGAAACGAUAAAAAUGUCAUGUCAUGCGAUUGUAAUAUUUUAUAGUGUAUAUCAGUUG
Molecule: non-coding RNA, 1275 nt
Organism: Paramuricea clavata
Lineage: Eukaryota; Metazoa; Cnidaria; Anthozoa; Malacalcyonacea; Plexauridae
Source: the annotation of a GenBank genome assembly